Molecule: ribosomal RNA, 827 nt
Filed under: Periglischrus paracaligus
Lineage: Eukaryota; Metazoa; Arthropoda; Arachnida; Mesostigmata; Spinturnicidae
Description: partial large subunit ribosomal RNA
Rfam family: Eukaryotic large subunit ribosomal RNA
Source: RNAcentral
UAACAAUAAGAGAUGAGGUGUAAAGGUGUCAGGUGUUCGGCGGCUCUGCUGCAGCCUAACUAUUAUUGAGUGAGUGCUCAUGGAAGGUGGAAAGCCUGUAUGGCUGCUGGCGGUCGGUCGCCGGCCAGUGACACUGAAGAGUCUAGUUGUUUGAGAGUACAACUCAAAGCUGGUGGUAAAUUCCAUCAAAGGCUAAAUAUACGAAGGGACUAAUAGCGAACAAGUACCAUGAGGGAAAGUUGAAAAGAACUCCGAAGAGAGAGUUAAAUAGUACGUGAAACCAUGCUGAGUAAAACAGAUAACUGUGUCGUUAUGCGGCGCCCCCUGUCAACAGCGGCCGCGGCAUCGCCGCGCCGCGCGUCUAGGCGGCUGGCUCUCGUAGCCCGCUGGCUGAUUACGCGCGGCUCGCUAGCCGAUGCCUCUGUGUACUAGUGGGCGUCCGUGCAUUGAGAAACCACGUAGCAACAGGCUCGGCGUGUUCUAUCUGUCCGCACCUAGUGCACGGUAGCGCGCUGGCUUCGUAUGCGUCACCUCACGCAGCGUGGUUUCGCUGCGUGGCAGCUGUGAGUCGCGCUCGCCACGAGGCUGCUGUUCGCUUGUCCGUGUGCGGGUGGUUCCACCCCGCGCGGCCGGCGUAGCCAGUCUCGAGGAGCGGCUCUCGAUCAAUGUUAGACAUUAGUUAUUUGACCCGUCUUGAAACACGGACCAAGGAGUUCAAAUGGCACGCGAGUCGUCGGGUUUAGCCACCCGAAGGCGAAGUGAAAUGCGAAUCAGUUGCGAACUGCGGUGCUCGCUGCCACAGUUAAGCGACGGGCUACUCAUGCUAC